This 234-nucleotide ribosomal RNA is filed under the name uncultured bacterium. RNAcentral's name for it is "partial small subunit ribosomal RNA". It matches the Rfam family "Bacterial small subunit ribosomal RNA", at positions 26 to 288 of the family's 1533-position model. The record is from RNAcentral.
AGAACGAACGCUGGCGGCAGGCUUAACACAUGCAAGUCGAACGCCCUCGCAAGGGGGAGUGGCAGACGGGUGAGUAACACGUGGGAACAUACCCUUCGGUUCGGAACAACGCCGGGAAACUGGCGCUAAUACCGGAUACGGCUUUUGAGCGAAAGAUUUAUCGCCGAAGGAUUGGCCCGCGUUCGAUUAGCUUGUUGGUGAGGUAACGGCUCACCAAGGCGACGAUCGAUAGCU